GGACGAACGCUGGCGGCGUGCCUAACACAUGCAAGUCGAGCGAGGAGAUUCCUUCGGGAUGAUCCUAGCGGCGGACGGGUGAGUAACACGUGGGCAACCUGCCUCAUAGAGAGGAAUAGCCUUCCGAAAGGAGAUUAAUACCUCAUAACAUUGCAGUUUCGCAUGGAACAGCAAAUUAAAGGAAGUAAUCCGCUAUGAGAUGGGCCCGCGGCGCAUUAGCUAGUUGGUGAGGUAACGGCUCACCAAGGCGACGAUGCGUAGCCGACCUGAGAGGGUGAUCGGCCACAUUGGACUGAGACACGGCCCAGACUCCUACGGGAGGCAGCAGGUGGGGAAGUAUUGCACAAGUGGGGGAAACCCGUGAUGCAGCAAACCGCCGCGUGAGUGAUGACGGUCUUCGGAUUGUAAAGCUCUGUCUUCAGGGACGAUAAUGACGGUACCUGAGGAGGAAGCCACGGCUAACUACGUGCCAGCAGCUGC
Molecule: ribosomal RNA, 480 nt
Filed under: uncultured bacterium
Lineage: Bacteria
Description: bacterial SSU rRNA
Rfam family: Bacterial small subunit ribosomal RNA
Source: RNAcentral